CACAGUCCAUAUACAGUAUAUAUAUACAGUAUCUAUCUAUAAAUGCAAGGAAUGUCUGUCUGUCUGUUCCACAAAUAACUCUCCAACUGCUCAUCUGAACAAUCUCAAAUUCGGAGGAUGUAAUCCUUAUGGUAUGGGUGUGUGCAGUGCCAAGUUUCAUGUUGUUACAGCAAAAAAUGCCAAAGAUCUUAUAAAAUUAGUGAUGGAAUCUUCAAUUUUAUCUGCUCUCUCCUGUCUCUUAGCAACAGCUGCCCAUAGCGAUAGAUGACACUAAUCACAGUAGGUCCAAACCAACUAUUCAAAUGCAUCAUGGGAGUGGGUAUGUGUCUCCUCUGACUGAAAUGACAUACUAUACACCUUCAGCAACUCCAGGGUAAAAACAGACUGUUCUCCAGACGAAGUCAUGGCUCAGUUUUUAAUUAUUUUGCCAACAAUGGUCAAUACAGAGAACGUAAUACAUGAAGAUCAGAGCAAGUACCAAUGUGUGAAGGUGUGGCUCCACAGACUGGGGGUGUGUACCUCUGUUCUCUGGGCUCAGAGGAGCUGGAGCAGGGAGUGACGUGAGGAGCCUCGGCCUGAGAAGAGUUUUCCUUGGGAAGAACCAAGUGUGCUGAGCACUGAUCCCUCAGAACAACAUAAAACGAUCCAAACUGGAUUCAUGCUCCUCUCUGGAUGCUUUGCAGCACCUUGGAACCAGCUGUGGUCCUCGAGCACAGAGGACAGGAGCAACCUGGACCUGUAGCUCACAGUGCAUUCUCACUUUCACUGCACGGAACCAGCGUGCAGAAAACAGCACGGAACCGCUCAGACCCAGUCCAUUAUGCACUGGUCUUGCUCGCCCCUGUCUGCAACCAGCAAAUGGAGGACGGAGUCUCCGGACCAGAGGACGGCACAAGACCAAAACCGGACCCCUAGCCCCGUCCUGAGGCGGUGCGCGCUGCAGUGAGUGCUUCAGACCAACUUUGGUUCAUUUGCCAGUGUGAAAAAACCACACUGGAGUCUGUAUGCUACAUAAUAAUUUUAUCGCCUGGUACAGACCAAAUAAUCGAACCAGUGGUGUGAAAGUGUUAAUAUAGACUGUAGAGAAGUUAAACGAUCAGACUACAGUCGUCCCUCGCUAUAUCGUGGUUCAUCUUUUGUGGUCUCGCUGUUUUUUUAGUGCAAUUUUGCAUGCUUUUUUUUUACAGCGUAUGAGCAUGUACUGUGUUCCUCCCCCUGCGUCCUGAUUGGCUAAGGUAUUGUAGACUAUUGUUAAUCAAUCUCCUUCGUGCCGUGUCUCCUGUACAGUACAGAAUGUGUUCAGUUUGCCAAAUUUACAUAAAUGUUCGAUCGCCAGCCGUGAGAUUCUGAAGUGCUGCGUGAUCGGGCUAUUGGCGCACUUACUGUGAGGUGCGGAGCUCUCCGUCUGUCCUUUCUCCUGGGGUCACCUCUGAGCUCGUGAUCGUGAGUCCUGGUUCAAUUCUGGUUUAGUCCUGGUUUAGUCCUAGUUCAGUCCUGGUUUAGUCCUCCUCUGCAGUCCUGGAAUCAGUCCUGGGUUAGUCCUGGUUUAGUCUUGGGUUAACGGGCAGGUGCGGGCAGUUGUGGGCAGGUGCGGGCAGGUGCGGUCCUGUACUGCGCGGGUGUGGGUCUCCAGAAAUGGACCCGUGCAGGACUCUGCGCUGUCGGCUCCAUUAUGGAAUAAAUUAAUCUUCGGUUUGUUACAUAAAGAAGGAGGAAAAUAACAUAAGGACGACAGCAGCAAUAAGUUUUAAGAAGGAAGUAAAAAGUGUUGUAAGUUUCCUGUGUGAGAAAAGUGUAUAAAGUUUGUGCUGAGGGGUUUUACAGACUUAAAACAGAUAUAAUAAUUGUAAAAAAUAAAGUUGACUACUUAGCAGAUUUCACCUACCGCGGGUUAUUUUUAGAAUGUGACCCCCACGAUAAACGUGGGACACUGGAUUCCUUUUUUGAUGAUGAUUUCUUUUCCUCCUGAAGACUGAAUUAUAGUUCUGUGUCAACUCAGUGCACACUGCCGCCGUUGCCUUGUCGCCAUCAUUUCUGAUUUAUGGUUCUGCAUUGAAGUCUAUGUUCCACGAAGUAAUUCACUGGCACAACACUAGUCGUACGUGUUUACAAAAUGAAGUGGGAAAGUGGAGUAAAGGAAAUGUGUGUAGAGCGGAUGCAGAGGACCAAUCAUUUCUAGGCCCACUGGAGCCGUUUCUGUGGUGAGCUUUGUUUAAGGGCCCAGUAGAAGGUUUAUGCAGAACUGCAUUUUAGCAGCUGCUCUCUUAUUCUUAUACAUGUAUUUGUCUGGCAGAAACCUUCUUCAUUGUGCCUUUAUCUGCACAAAUCCGUCUGAGCUCUGAAUCAGAUACAAAUUUCUUAAUAGUACGAUGAUCAUGCUUAAGUUUUCCUGAAAUAUCUAAGGCUUUCAUACCUUGUCCAAGGUAUUCAACUAUUUCAGAUUUUUCGGCACUGGAGAGAUCCUUUUUCUUUCCCAUGUUGCUUGAGAAUGACGUUCUGCUUAAUAAUGUGGAACAUCCAUCUUAAGUUGUUUUUCCUUUGAUUGGACUGACGUGGCAAACUCAUUGGCUCAGGCGUCUGAGAUUGAUUUCAUUGACCCAAAGAGCCUUGAGAAACAAAACCAUCCAUGAGUUUCAUUGGAAAACAAAAAAAAGUAUCUGUAGUGACUAUUUGUCAAAUGAAAGUAACAAACAAAAGUGUGGACAAACUCAGAACUAAACAUAACUCAGAUAAUCACCUUUGGCACCGUGGGGAUGUGGUUUACGCAGCACAAAUCAAUGUCCAUGACUAGAGAUGAUUUUCCAAGGUUUAUUUUCCAGUUUUUUGGCCAAACAACAAAGAAAACAUGUUUAAGGCGACUCCUGCUGCUUCUCCUCGUGACUGGGAAAAAACCACAGGUCCACCCAGGUCACUCUGGUCCAUGUACCACCCUCCUUUAUCCCCGAGGUGACCCACAUGAAACCAAAACAAAAAAGAGCUGCUAACGUAAAUAACACCAACUUAGACUAAGAAAUUAGCAAGAAUAAUAUUAACAUAGCAAAAAUAUAUUAUACAAAUGAACAAAACUAAAUUAGUAAACUAACUAAACAAACAAAAAUAAUAAACAAAUUGUAGAAUCAACAAAAUAAGCAAAUAGCUCCUACACUCCGGCCCCUAAUUGUGCAUUAAAUCACAAUUACCAGUCAACUGAACUAGGAGCUGUUCUAAAACGGUGUCAGUAUUAGAUAUGUGUGAUGCAUUAGCCUUAGCUGAAUGUUUCUUCUUUCUUCUGAUAAACCUGCAAGAGAACAUGACAGACGGAGCACAGGAUGCAGAAUAGAGACAGACAGAGGUUUGAGUUUAAUUUGAGUCCACAGCCGCUUCCAGCAGCAGACAGAGUUUGGUCACUGGUUUCUCCAACUCACUGGUUUUGGUCUUGAUCUGUGCUGAGUGAACCAGGCCUCUUGAGUCAGUGUUUACUGCCAGGACUCUUCCCAUCUGCCAGCGUCCUCUAGUCCAGGGGUCGGCAACCCAAAAUGUUCAAAGAGCCAAACUGGCCCAAAAAAACAAAAACCAGACCUGCCUGGAGCCGCAAAAAAUGAAAAGUCUUAUAUCAGCCUAAUAUGAAGACAACACAGGCUGUCAGUAUAUUAACUGUAUAAACCCACUAUUAAAAUGACUAAGUCGGCUACAAAUACAAAAUGAACAUCAUGAUACACAAACCCUCUGUGACCCUCUCACACUCGCUGCUCCGUCUGUAGACACUGAAAUCAGGUGGUUAGUGUUUAUUCCUUUGUCAUUUAGGCUCCGUUUACGUUUGUUCACAUGAUUUACACGCAAAUGGAGAAUUCACCUCUGAAAACGAAUCUUUCUAAAAACUCCGGUUUCACGUUUGUGUGUAAACUGAGAUAAACGGAGUUUUAGGAGCCGACGCGCUGAAAGUGUGACCGAUGUUUACCUGUUGCUUUGACGACGAUGAUGGAAGCAUCAGAGCAGCAGUCGCAUUUCUUCUGAUCGUGCAGGAGCACUCAGAAAACAGCAGCAUGGAGAACUUUGUACACAACAUCAGCCCGGAGCAGAAGCUCUGAGCUCAGCAGCAGCGUCAAACACACGGGAGCAGCUCCUCCAGACGGGGCUGGGGUCCAGUGUUGAUUGUCCGGAGGCUUCGUCCUCCAUGUCCUGGUUCCAGACGGAGACGAGUAAGACCAGCACAAAGGACUGGGUCCGAGCGGUUCCGUGUCGUCCUCUGUGCGCAGGUUCUGUGCGGGAAAAGCGAGAAUGUUCUGUGGACCACAGGUCCGGGUGCUCUGGUCCUCCGCGCUCGACUGCAGCUGGUUCUGAGGUGGUGCAGCGUCCGGACAGAAGCGUGAAUCCCGUUUGGUUUGUUAUAUGUUGUUCUGAGCUCUGCACACAUGUUUUUUUUGUGUGUUUUUUUUGUUUGUGUUUUUUUUCGGAGAAAGUGUUUCUCUCUAUUUGUUCUGCUGAAACACUUUUAAUGUCUUUGCAUUUGCACACAGCUGAUGGAUCAGAUCCAUGACCAGAGAUGAACGAGGGUUUUACCCCUAAACAAACCAGAUUAAAACAACAACAAAAAAAAUCAUUCCUUUUCCAUUUUCACUCAUUUUUGAAAAAGCUCCAGGGAGCCACUAGGGGAGUGCUAAAGAGCCACAUGCGGCUCCGGAGCCGCGGGUUGCCGACCCCUGGUCUAGAAUGUUUUUUUUCACUCCAUGUGUUAACUUGUACGACACAGCUGGUCUAUCCAUAGACAAGAAGAGCCCUGGGAUCUUUGGCCAGCACCUGUGCUGUCAAUCAGAUGUGCUGUGAUUGUCAAAGGAAGUGAGUGCUCCGCAACAAAUCCCACAAAAUGUCAUCAUUAGACCACAUCGUAUCGUAAACAUUACAACCACACAUUCUACAUACAUUUCCUACCUAAAUAGUAGAACUGAUUCUGUGUAACUCAGCUGCAUAAAGAAGGAAUUCUGGGUUGAACUGAGUCGGUGUAUGGAGUUGUAAUGAUAAUAUUAUCUGAAGGUGCAAUUUGAAUAUGCAUGUUCUGCUGUUGCAGCUUCCAGGCCAUUAUGUGUUUGGGAUGCUCCACAUGUUUCUUUAGUGUCACCUUCCCACUUGUCCCAUCAUUUAUAAUACAAUUGCAAGUGUUACAAAUUGUCUUACCAGCUUCUCUGAUUUUGCUGAAACAUUUCAAAGGCAGGGUGUCUCCUUGGACUUGGACAGUGUCCUCUAACCAACUGCAUUUGAAAUGAUUUUUUACUCCCUCAUCAACAGCUUUUAUGUCAGAGCUGUUCACUGCAUGUCUGGCCAUAAGUCAAAAGUAUGCUGGAAAAGAUAUAAGAAAGGAAAUUAUUUCAUUAAUACAAUUAUGACAAUCCUAACAGUUUUUAAUCAAUAUUCAAAAACUGCAGUGCACAUGAACUUGGUUUUCCAGCAGUAUACUGACAUGGUUAUUAUCCAGCAUGUUUGAUCAUGUGCUAUAAAGCCUAGAUAAAAUAUCAUCAUCAUCAUCAUCAUCAUCAUCAUCGAUGUUUCUGUUGUUAUUGUGUAGCCUACACUGCUGUAGUUAUUAUGUGCACUAUUCUGUUUUUAUGUAGCCUUACAUGCUCCGUGAUCUACACUUCGCAUAACAAUCACCAGACGCAAACGCAACGUCUAACUUCUCCAAGUCUUAUUUUCAUAACGUCUACCACAUUCAACAGCUCUCCUGCAAACAACACCACCGUCUGUCCUUGUCACCUCCAUCUAUGUUGGCUUGUUGAGCACUGUUGCUCAACUGUUGUUUUCCCCAGCCUCGGGCAGCGUCGCAUUGCUGGGCACAGGUGUGGACCCGGACAAGCGUGGGCAUUGACACAGACCAUCAUCUCAUACAUACGGUGCACCUCAUUAUAAAGGCGCUUUAAGAAGAAGUGCACAUCCCAGAAGAAACAUUAAUCAAGAUGCCAGACUUCUGCGCUGCAUACGGAAUAAACCAGGACUAAACCAGGACUAAACCAGGACUGAACCAGGACUGAACCAGGACUGAACCAGGACUAAACCAGGACUAAACCAGGACUGAACCAGGACUGAACCAGGACUGAACCAGGACUGAACCAGGACUGAACCAGGACUAACCGUGGAGUUGAGAGCAAGAGAAACCCAAGCCCACAGAGGAGUCGGGCAAAGGCUGCCCUUAGCCGCAGGUGUGCAGAGUUCUGCGCAGUUUGAAAUCCGCUUCGUAAGCAUGUUCCCAUUUUGGAUGGAGACGUCCAAUAUUACUGAAUAUUAUUGUUUAAUGUCGUGAGGCUCCUGACUACAGUAGCCAUGAUGCUUCGACAGCGGUGUGGCUUCGUAUCUUACAAAAGUCAUAUUAAACAUUUUGACAGAUUUUUGAGCGCCGUGCAUCACAUAAAAUCAGUUCUCAGAUGUAAUCUGGCAUCUUGAAUAAACAAAUUCAAUAGGAGAAUUGUUAAUUUACUAACUUACUUAUUGUUACUCACUAAUACCUGCUGUUUUCAUCUUUUUAACCUAGACUGAUAACUACACAUUGACUAACCUGACUAGUAACAUAAUUUGGUAACUAUGAAGCGUUUGACUUACAUUAGCAUUAAUAUCAUCGUGUCAAACCUUGGACACUUGAUCGGUGAAAAAUCAUUAUCUGUAAAUAACAGACCUGCAUCUAACAAAAUACAUGAAAACAACAUUGGCCUAAGCUUAUCUGCAUCAUCCAAAUGUCGAUCUUCCUCUUGGCAACUGAACACGAAGACACAGGUCGCCAACCGCGGGAAAGAGGGUGACAGCGGCAUCCUAACAGCAAAUAGGCUACUGACACGGCUGCGUCUUACAUUACUUCUCCAUGGUCGGGUUAAAUGCCCCUUUAUGCACUAUAGGCUGUAUUUUUUUCAUUAUCGAUACAUUAUCAACUCAACCCCCAGAAAGCAAGACAGUGUAAACUGUCAAAAAACAGUGUAAACUGUCUCUACAUCUCCAAUGUGCCGCUCACUGCAGUCUUCUCCACACUGAACGGACUUCAGUGCUUUAUUGUGGCUCGGGGUUCUGUCCACCAGAUGAACCAGUCUUUAAAGCCCUGGCUGCACUGCACGCAUGUUUUGGCCAAAGCCAGCGUAAAAACUGCAACUUCUGGACGUGUAAAUUUUAGAAUGCAUUAAAAGUGAAUGAGGGCGGCUCCACUGCCCCCAAGGCAUGUGUAUGCAGCAGCGCGUCCUGCGCCCGUAGAUUUCAGAAAAUAGGUUCCAUCCUGUUGUUUUGACGCUCUACGUGAGUGUAGGCGCACAUCCCCGUCAAAAUACACAAAGAGCAUGAAUCUAUUGUUGUAUUUACCAUCAGCAAAGUGUUCUCCUGGGGCAGAUCUGUGUUGUGUGAAAGAGCCCAGGUCCACAAAUACUGUUAAUUAGUGCUUUAAAAUUUACUUUUGAAAUCGUUGCAUUUGCCCGUACAUACGGUAAACACAGGCCUGUUCAGCUGUUGGUUUCACUGUGACCUGAUACAAGAGACUAAAUGUGCACAGUAGCUUUGAUCGACUUUCCCAUUGAGAAACACAGAGCCAAUGCGCGGCUGUGGUUUCGCAAGGUUAUGCACGUAAACACUGACACCUGGAGUGGAGCAAGAACCUAACCCCCAAUUUACACCAAAGCGUAACAGCGUAAGUGCAGCAGCAGCACACGAGCUGGUUUGGCCGGUUUAACCGGUCAGACAGUUUACAGCAGCAGUGUCAUACGCGCGUCCAGCGUCUUCAUUACACUACACAUCGCUCAAAUUAGGUUGGAGUUUUAAUUUUACAGAGUCGGAGUGUUUCCAGGCUUUUUAGCAGGAAAGACAGGAAAAUAAACACGUGGUGUCAAAGUAAACUUCCGAUGUCCUUUUAAAAUCCAUUCUGUAAAACCACUACAGCGUAAACACCGAGCGUCGCAUCAGAAGCUCGAGGAACAAAUCGUGAUGGACACAGAAAGUUUAGAGCCGCCAAGGAUAAAUCUAAAACACUUUACCACAUCAGACAGAAACUUUACAAGAACAAGUGAAGGAAAAGACACAAGGAGCAACGAGCAAAAGUGAAACUGAGACGAGCUUCAUUAACGCAGCUCCACAGAUACGACUCGUAACACUGCAAACAUCCACUCUGACACUUUAGAUUAGAGAUUUAAAACAGAACAGAGACAAUCAACAAUGAAAACAUGAACUAUGGGAAAAGUUUAGAGUUUAAACGGGAAAAUACACAAAGUUUAGAGUUUAAACGGGAGAAUACACAGAGUUUAGAGUUUAAACGGGAGAAUACACAGAGUUUAGAGUUUAAACGGGAGAAUACACAGAGUUUAGAGUUUAAACGGGAGAAUACACAGAGUUUAGAGUUUAAACGGGAGAAUACACAGAGUUUAGAGUUUAAACGGGAGAAUACACAGAGGCUGGCGUCACAGGAGCAGCUCUGUUGCCUCUGGUCUAAAUUGAAGCUUUUAAAAGUUUGUGCAUCUGCAGCUCUGCCAAUGUUAUGUGCUGCUGACGCUCCUGGUGUAAAUUCCGUAAGGUGGGUCCAAUUGACAGAAAUAUUUUUUUCUUUUGAGAUGUUUUUUGUUUUGUUUUUUUACAUACAAUGUCGGCUAGGUUUAGGUGUUCAUGUAGAUUUAUUCUGUGAGUAUCUGUGGGGGGACGAGGAGCAGGCUGUGAUUGUGGCCUCUCACUGGUGUCAUUGUUCAUGUUUGCAGGAGCCUGAGUCUUCAGCUGCACAGAACAGAGCGUCUGGAAUGACGGACUUGUGCUCUGACAUCACCGACUUUCAAGCAGAAGAAUGUGACCAGCUUCAAUCCCCAAAAACUUCACUUGUCAACAAACACACUGUACAGGU
Molecule: long non-coding RNA, 8824 nt
Organism: Boleophthalmus pectinirostris (great blue-spotted mudskipper)
Lineage: Eukaryota; Metazoa; Chordata; Actinopteri; Gobiiformes; Gobiidae
Exons: 3
Source: RefSeq, a predicted model, not a curated record